GAUGAACGCUGGCGGCGUGCCUAAUACAUGCAAGUCGAGCGAACAGACGAGGAGCUUGCUCCUCUGACGUUAGCGGCGGACGGGUGAGUAACACGUGGAUAACCUACCUAUAUGACUGGGAUAACUUCGGGAAACCGGAGCUAAUACCGGAUAAUAUAUUGAACCGCAUGGUUCAAUAGUGAAAGACGGUUUUGCUGUCACUUAUAGAUGGAUCCGCGCCGCAUUAGCUAGUUGGUAAGGUAACGGCUUACCAAGGCAACGAUGCGUAGCCGACCUGAGAGGGUGAUCGGCCACACUGGAACUGAGACACGGUCCAGACUCCUACGGGAGGCAGCAGUAGGGAAUCUUCCGCAAUGGGCGAAAGCCUGACGGAGCAACGCCGCGUGAGUGAUGAAGGUCUUCGGAUCGUAAAGCUCUGUUAUUAGGGAAGAACAAAUGUGUAAGUAACUAUGCACGUCUUGACGGUACCUAAUCAGAAAGCCACGGCUAACUACGUG
This 497-nucleotide ribosomal RNA is filed under the name uncultured bacterium. RNAcentral describes it as "partial 16S ribosomal RNA". It matches the Rfam family "Bacterial small subunit ribosomal RNA", at positions 28 to 507 of the family's 1533-position model. The record is from RNAcentral.